GCAGCACCGCGGUAAUACGGAGGGUGCAAGCGUUAUCCGGAUUUAUUGGGUUUAAAGGGUCCGUAGGCGGACUUAUAAGUCAGUGGUGAAAGCCUGUCGCUUAACGAUAGAACUGCCAUUGAUACUGUAAGUCUUGAGUAUAUUUGAGGUAGCUGGAAUAAGUAGUGUAGCGGUGAAAUGCAUAGAUAUUACUUAGAACACCAAUUGCGAAGGCAGGUUACCAAGAUAUAACUGACGCUGAGGGACGAAAGCGUGGGUAGCGAACAGGAUUAGAUACCCCGUGUAGUCCCUGUCUCUUAUAC
Molecule: ribosomal RNA, 302 nt
Filed under: uncultured bacterium
Lineage: Bacteria
Description: partial 16S ribosomal RNA
Rfam family: Bacterial small subunit ribosomal RNA
Source: RNAcentral